UACAUGUGGGGCAAGCGUUGUUCGGAAUUACUGGGCAUAAAGGGUGCGUAGGCGGCUUGCCAAGUCGCAGGUGAAAGUUUUCGGCCCAACCGGAAAAGUGCCUGCGAUACUGGCGAGCUUGAGUGCGCGAGGGGUUGGGGGAACGAGCAGUGUAGCGGUGAAAUGCGUAGAUAUUGCUCGGAAGGCCGGAGCCGAAGGGGCCCAACUGG
This 209-nucleotide ribosomal RNA is filed under the name uncultured prokaryote. RNAcentral's name for it is "partial 16S ribosomal RNA". It matches the Rfam family "Bacterial small subunit ribosomal RNA", at positions 524 to 732 of the family's 1533-position model. The record is from RNAcentral.